Molecule: ribosomal RNA, 246 nt
Filed under: uncultured Oscillospiraceae bacterium
Lineage: Bacteria; Bacillati; Bacillota; Clostridia; Eubacteriales; Oscillospiraceae
Description: partial 16S ribosomal RNA
Rfam family: Bacterial small subunit ribosomal RNA
Source: RNAcentral
CACUCUAGACGAACUGCCGUUGACAAACGGAGGAAGGUGGGGAUGGACGUCAAUCAUCAUGCCCCUUAUGUUCUGGGCUACACACGUGCUACAAUGGCCGGUACAGAGGGUUGCCAAGCCGCGAGGUGGAGCCAAUCCCUUAAAGCCGAUCGUAGUCCGGAUCGUAGUCUGCAACUCGACUACGUGAAGUCGGAAUCGCUAGUAAUCGCAGAUCAGCAUGCUGCGGUGAAUACGUUCCCGGGUCUU